CAACGUUAAAAGAAAGGUUACCAACAAAGAGCUUAAGGUCAGGAGAGAAGGAGUUACGCUCCACAGGCGCUGAAUCGUCACCGUCAGCGAACAUAUCAUCUUCCUCCACCUCAAAAUCCGAAGAUACAGCAACGUUUCUAACGAAACGCGACGGGUACUCGGCGGGGGAUGAGCAUUUGAGGGCGGAGGAAGCGAAGAUAGAGACGAGGUGGUCGGAGUGAAGUUUGAAGGAGAGGGAAGGAGGUAAGACGGAGACGGAAGCGGGUCUGGAGACGCAGAGAGGAAGGGAUUUAGGAUUGAAAGCAGAGAGGGAAGAAGCAGAGGCAGACAUGGCUAAAGCUUGAGAGAAUUUUGCUCUCGAGGCUAAAGCUUUGAGAAGCUGGUGGUGAAGAGAUAAGGUUUAAGGGUUCUGC
RNAcentral lists this long non-coding RNA (413 nucleotides) under Arabidopsis thaliana (thale cress). RNAcentral's name for it is "long non-coding RNA (ATHA_LNC000195)". The record is from RNAcentral. Lineage: Eukaryota; Viridiplantae; Streptophyta; Magnoliopsida; Brassicales; Brassicaceae.